Molecule: long non-coding RNA, 124 nt
Organism: Thalassophryne amazonica
Lineage: Eukaryota; Metazoa; Chordata; Actinopteri; Batrachoidiformes; Batrachoididae
Exons: 3
Source: RefSeq, a predicted model, not a curated record
UGGCUGUGUCUGGUCUGGGCUAUUCAACUAUAUUUUUCCGGGGGCCAAAUUUGUCAGAAUACUAUGAUCUGUGGGCCGGACAUUCUCGUGACCUGUACUAUUACUCUCGGAUGUACAAUUGAGA